This 251-nucleotide ribosomal RNA is filed under the name uncultured bacterium. RNAcentral describes it as "partial 16S ribosomal RNA". It matches the Rfam family "Bacterial small subunit ribosomal RNA", at positions 524 to 776 of the family's 1533-position model. The record is from RNAcentral.
UACGUAGGGUGCAAGCGUUGUUCGGAAUCAUUGGCGUAAGCGCGUGUAGGUGGUUUAUCAAGUCAGAUGUGAAAGCCCUCGGCUCAACCGGGGAAGUGCAUUUGAAACUGAUAGGCUAGAGAACGGUAGAGGAAGGUGGAAUUCACGUGUAGCGGUGAAAUGCGUAGAGAUGUGGAGGAACACCGGUGGCGAAGGCGGGACUCUGGGCCGAUACUGACGCUGAGGAGCGAAAGCGUGGGGAGCGAAACAGG